This 259-nucleotide ribosomal RNA is filed under the name uncultured prokaryote. RNAcentral's name for it is "partial 16S ribosomal RNA". It matches the Rfam family "Bacterial small subunit ribosomal RNA", at positions 524 to 782 of the family's 1533-position model. The record is from RNAcentral.
UACGGAGGAUGCAAGCGUUAUCCGGAUUCAUUGGGUUUAAAGGGUGCGUAGGCGGGCUAUUAAGUCGGUGGUGAAAUCCUGCAGCUUAACUGCAGAACUGCCGUUGAUACUGAUAGUCUUGAGUUUGGUUAAGGUAGGCGGAAUGUGUAAUGUAGCGGUGAAAUGCUUAGAUAUUACACAGAACACCAAUUGCGUAGGCAGCUUACUGAGCCGACACUGACGCUGAGGCACGAAAGCGUGGGGAUCAAACAGGAUUAGA